Long non-coding RNA from Mangifera indica (mango), 687 nucleotides. RefSeq lists it as uncharacterized. The transcript has 2 exons. The record is from RefSeq and is a predicted model, not a curated record. NCBI's taxonomy places the organism in Eukaryota, Viridiplantae, Streptophyta, Magnoliopsida, Sapindales, Anacardiaceae.
CGAGUUAACCAAAUUAUUUUAUUUUGACUUUUGAGUCAGAGAUUACCUCCCUUGGAUCUAUUACUGCGCUACUUGACCAUAGCUUUCAAUUGCCGUUUCAAUGGUAAAGCUUGGGCUUAGAUUGGGCCCCAGCUCUAUGACAGUUAGGUUGGACUGGGGAAAGUUGUUGAGGAUAAUCAAAGUUUAGGAAUCAAUUCAAUGCAAUGGUAGGUCCAGAAUGGAGCUUGGUUGAAGCACUACUUCGUGUGAACGAGAUUGCCGCUGCGGGAGCCAUUGUUUGAAAGCUCUUUCAAGCUAUCAGACCUGGAAAAAUAAUAUCGUAGAAUUUUACUGCUUUGGAUGUUCCACGUUCUUCAAUUCAAUGCCGGAGGAAGUGGGAUUUAUUGGUUGCUGACUACUACAGGCUCACGCGGUCAAGACUAGGACCAAUUCUUGCUGCUUUUCUCAGGGUCAAAGCUUUCCUCCCAAUUUUGACUCUGAACUUUUCAAUACAGACUCAGAUACUGACCCAGCUGCUCAUCUUGACUUAACUGAAUUAAUUUCACAGUUGGGUAUGCUCCUCUUUUUUUAAUUAAUUUUAAUCACAUUUGUUUAAUUGUGGACUGCUUCCGGAUGAUGUACAAUUGGAUCAUUUGAUUGGAUAUGAAAUUUGACUAGUGCAAUGCUGAAACUUUUACUAUGCUGCCA